Molecule: ribosomal RNA, 445 nt
Filed under: uncultured bacterium
Lineage: Bacteria
Description: partial 16S ribosomal RNA
Rfam family: Bacterial small subunit ribosomal RNA
Source: RNAcentral
GUGAGGAAUAUUGGUCAAUGGGCGCAAGCCUGAACCAGCCAUGCCGCGUGCAGGAAGACGGUCCUAUGGAUUGUAAACUGCUUUUAUUUGGGAAUAAACUCCGGUACGUGUACCGGCCUGAAGGUACCAAAUGAAUAAGCACCGGCUAACUCCGUGCCAGCAGCCGCGGUAAUACGGAGGGUGCAAGCGUUAUCCGGAAUCAUUGGGUUUAAAGGGUCCGCAGGCGGUAUUAUAAGUCAGUGGUGAAAGCCUACAGCUCAACUGUAGAACGUACAUUGAGACUGUAAGACUUGAAUUCGGACGAAGUGGGCGGAAUGUUUAAUGUAGCGGUGACAUGCUUAGAUAUGUCACAGAACCCAGAUAGCGAAGGCAGCUCUCUAGGUCCGUAUUGGCGCACAGGGACGCAAGCGUAGCAAGCAAACAGGAUUAGAUUCCCUUGUAGUCC